UUCACGACGAUAAAUGACGGCAACCGUGCU
RNAcentral lists this small RNA (30 nucleotides) under Bombyx mori (domestic silkworm). RNAcentral describes it as "ovarian small RNA-37001". Lineage: Eukaryota; Metazoa; Arthropoda; Insecta; Lepidoptera; Bombycidae. The record is from RNAcentral.